CUUGUCCUGCAGACUCCACUCCUCCUCUAAUGUUUGCGGGCCUGUGGAGAGCUAACCCCAUUCAGAACCUACUGAGACUGCUCGCACAUUUUCCCAGGGAAAGCCACGGACAAAGCGGCAGCCGCACUCCGAGCGGCUGGAAAUAGCGCCUACCACCGAGAGGCCAGCUCUGCACCGAGCACAGGAAGUGACACGGAGCUGUGAGGAGAAACAACUCGCUGCUGCAGAUCUCCGCCCUGCUUAUGAUUUCAGAUUAAAGGUUCAACACACAAGGAGAAACRCGGCGAGCAAAGACAGAGCAGUAAACGGUCCAGUUCACUGAACCAGUUUUCAGCUGACAUGUCUACAACGGCCACCAGAGGGCGCAAGAGCAGCUGUGUCACAGGCAGUAGCCAAAGCAUCCGACGCUUCAGACUGGAUCACCGGUAAAAUUAGAGGUUUGGAGGAGACAGAGAGUCAGAUCACCAGCAGAACCACAUCCCCACUCUGAUCAGCUCUGCCCUCAGAUCCGGUCCAUGAGAACCAGAACAAGGAUCAGGAACCCGAAGUGCAGCAGGAGCUGAUCCCAGACUUCCACCAUAAUCCUCCACACAACGCCUCCCAGAACUUUAAUCUUCUCAACGUCCACAGAACAAUCUUCAGUAAUUCUCCACCAACCAGCAGCUACUGAAGAUAAAAAUGCACCGAAAAUAGUUUUCCUGAAUGUUUCCGAAACAAAACAACACAAUAAAGUUUCUGGAUUUUC
Poecilia reticulata (guppy) is the source of this 745-nucleotide long non-coding RNA. RefSeq lists it as uncharacterized. The record is from RefSeq and is a predicted model, not a curated record. Lineage: Eukaryota; Metazoa; Chordata; Actinopteri; Cyprinodontiformes; Poeciliidae.